CCCUUAGAUGUCCUGGGCUGCACGCGCGCUACACUGGAAGUUACGGAUUGAGAUACUACCUUGUCCGAAAUGGUCCGGGUAAUCACCUAAAAGCUUGUCAUAAUUGGAAUGGAUUAUUGUAACUAGUAAUCCUGAACGAGGAAUUCCUAGUAAGUCCCAGUCAACAGCUGGUACUGAUUACGUCCCUGCCCUUUGUACACACCGCCCGUCGCUACUACUGAUUGGACGUUUAAGCAAGAUUUUUAAACACUGACAGUGUGUAGUACACGCUAUACUACAGUGAGAAGAAGAAGAUCGAGCUUACUUGUCUAGAGGAAGUAAAAGUCGUAACA
RNAcentral lists this ribosomal RNA (332 nucleotides) under uncultured eukaryote. RNAcentral's name for it is "partial 18S ribosomal RNA". It matches the Rfam family "Eukaryotic small subunit ribosomal RNA", at positions 1470 to 1796 of the family's 1831-position model. The record is from RNAcentral.